CCGGAGCCUCAUGUAACGCUGCCUGUGGCACCAACGCUGUGGGCACGGGGCAAACGGGUGGAGUUUGAGCCCUUGGCACCAAACAGGCACAAAUAGCAGCUGCAGCAGCAUGUACAUUCACGGAGUACAGUGCAGAGGUUUCUGAUGAGUCAAAUGGAAAGUGGAUUUUGUCUUGAUGUAACUCAGAAAGCAGAUGCAAGAAUGAUACUGACUUGGUAGAAUGAGAAGAUGAGAUUCAAGCUCCUGCCAGUUAUCUCUGCUCAACCCUCAGACAGCCCCAGGGAGUGGAAGCACCAGACGGCACUGAGGAUGGACCUACAGGUGGGGCUAAAACAGGAAGAUGGGACUCCUAGAUCCCUCUUCUAUCCUAUGCGCACUUUCCUGAAAAAUGAAAUUCAGUGAAGGCUUAAAUGUAGAAUGGAGAGAUGGCUAGUAUCCUUGUCCCUCUUGGAUCCCAGAAUGCUAGCAGCCACAUAUAAACAUGUUAGGGAGAUUUUAGAAUCAUUCAUGGGAGAAACCAAAAGAUGUACAGAUACUCAAAUACUGACACUUAGAGAUCCCUCUCUGCUCCCAAAACCUCCAGUGUCCUGCCAGAUCACUUCACAGUGAGAACUUUAAGUCAACAAGUUCCUUCCUUUACACAGAAUAUUGAGUCAGCCUUUGUGCCUCAGUCAUAAAUGUGAAUAUUCAGCUAUAGAUUACCAGACUUUUCAGAAAAACCUCUCUAACAGAGACCAAAAUAAAUAAACAGAAAAAGGACCAGGAACUCAGAGGAAACAAAAUGCAAGCAGGACAAUAAAACAUC
This is a long non-coding RNA of Homo sapiens (human), 805 nucleotides long. RefSeq lists it as uncharacterized. The record is from RefSeq and is a predicted model, not a curated record. Lineage: Eukaryota; Metazoa; Chordata; Mammalia; Primates; Hominidae. The transcript has 3 exons.